Molecule: long non-coding RNA, 635 nt
Filed under: Carica papaya (papaya)
Lineage: Eukaryota; Viridiplantae; Streptophyta; Magnoliopsida; Brassicales; Caricaceae
Description: long non-coding RNA (CPAP_LNC004992)
Source: RNAcentral
AGAGUUUUCACUGUCCCAUGGUUCCUUGGUUCAGUCUUGCUUCCCCUGCUCUGGAAAUGAUAAAAGAGGAAUGAGCCACCAUAUGCUCAGAAAGAACGAUUUACAACUCCAAUAUGAAUAAUGAAGAUAAUACACUGAUUUGACUCUUAACCUUUAUUCCAACUCAAUAAACUUGCACAUGAAUUUGGCUCCAAUACCCAUCUAAUUGUCACUUCGAUCUACCAACUACUCACUUCCUUCACAUGUAUUUCACAUUUAUUCAUGUUCAUCCAUAAUUACACAACUAAAUUUCUUGCAUAUAAUAUAAAUCCAUUCUCAAUCUUGAUGACAUAAUAUAUAAUCAUAUUAAUUACACAUAAUCACAAAUUUAGCAUCCUUGCUCAUGUAUAUAUUCAUAAUGCAGUAAAUUCAUACUAUCCACCAAGCAUAACCGAUGCAUAUUGCAUGUAAAUUUAUUUUUGUUUUUCACAUGAUAUCAAUAAAUCACAAUCAGAAAAAAAAAAUUGAUAAUCACUCCUGUUAACAUGGACUGAGUCAUAAUUACACAUUCACAAGUCAUAGUUACAUUCAUAGUUACUGUUAUAAUCACAGUCAUAGUUUCAAUCACAAUUACAAUUAUAGUUACAGUCAUAAUC